ACACAUGCAAGUCGAGGGGAAACGACAUCGAAAGCUUGCUUUUGAUGGGUGUCGACCGGCGCACGGGUGAGUAACGCGUAUCCAACCUGCCCACCACAUGGGGAUGACCUUGCGAAAGUAAGACUAAUACCCAAUGAUAUCUCUAGAAGACAUCUGAAAGAGAUUAAAGAUUUAUCGGUGAUGGAUGGGGAUGCGUCUGAUUAGCUUGUUGGCGGGGUAACGGCCCACCAAGGCGACGAUCAGUAGGGGUUCUGAGAGGAAGGUCCCCCACAUUGGAACUGAGACACGGUCCAAACUCCUACGGGAGGCAGCAGUGAGGAGUAUUGGUCAAUGGACGAGAGUCUGAACCAGCCAAGUAGCGUGCAGGAUGACGGCCCUAUGGGUUGUAAACUGCUUUUAUAAGGGAAUAAAGUGAGUCUCGUGAGACUUUUUGCAUGUACCCUAUGAAUAAGGACCGGCUAAUUCCGUGCCAGCAGCCGCGGUAAUACGGAAGGUCCGGGCGUUAUCCGGAUUUAUUGGGUUUAAAGGGAGCGUAGGCCGGAGAUUAAGCGUGUUGUGAAAUGUA
RNAcentral lists this ribosomal RNA (565 nucleotides) under uncultured bacterium. RNAcentral's name for it is "bacterial SSU rRNA". It matches the Rfam family "Bacterial small subunit ribosomal RNA", at positions 51 to 603 of the family's 1533-position model. The record is from RNAcentral.